GGCGGACGGGUGAGGAACACGUAGGAAUCUACCUAGAAGAGCGGGACAACCUUGGGAAACCGGGGCUAAUACCGCAUAGUACAGUGAUGUUAAAGGGCUAGCAAUAGUCGCUUCUAGAUGAGCCUGUGGUCUAUCAGCUUGUUGGCGGGGUAACGGCCCACCAAGGCGACGACGGAUAGCCGGUCUGAGAGGAUGAUCGGCCACACUGGCACUGAGACACGGGCCAGACUCCUACGGGAGGCAGCAGUUAAGAAUCUUGCGCAAUGGACGAAAGUCUGACGCAGCGACGCCGCGUGAAGGAUGAAGGCUUUCGGGUUGUAAACUUCGGUAGACUGGGAAGAAAAAGUAAGUUCGUUGAGGGCUUACAUUGACGGUACCAGUCUGAAGCCCCGGCUAAUUACGUGCCAGCAGCCGCGGUAAUACGUAUGGGGCAAGCGUUGUUCGGAAUUAUUGGGCGUAAAGGGCUCGCAG
RNAcentral lists this ribosomal RNA (471 nucleotides) under uncultured Bacillus sp. RNAcentral describes it as "bacterial SSU rRNA". It matches the Rfam family "Bacterial small subunit ribosomal RNA", at positions 97 to 574 of the family's 1533-position model. The record is from RNAcentral. Lineage: Bacteria; Bacillati; Bacillota; Bacilli; Caryophanales; Bacillaceae.